GUCUGACAUCAACAGCAUACUCACGUUACUCCAGGACUGGAGAGUCACUACGAGCUGUGUGUGGAAGCUAGGCUAACAAGUUGAGCAAACUUAGCGCCCUUGGAAGUGGAAGGAGGUAAAAGUGCCUCCGACCUAUUUCCAAGCAACUAAAAGGAGGAUUUUAAUGGCAGCUGUAGAAGAAAAGGUUGCAUUCCAUUGGACCAAAAGCACCGCAGGUAUUUACUUGACACAGGGUCGUCGUACGGCCAGAUGCGGAGCUUCUAAUUUUGGGAUCAGGUCCUAAUGAGAGGACCAGAAAACAACCUGCUGGUGAGAAUGGACCACAAAGGCCAGCUUAGAGGACCUGUGAUGUCACAGAAAAAACAUAUAUAAAAAUAACGCCUCUGCUGUGUCUUUUUUGUCCCUUUUCUGUCAACCCUGGCGC
This is a long non-coding RNA of Entelurus aequoreus (snake pipefish), 424 nucleotides long. RefSeq lists it as uncharacterized. The transcript has 3 exons. The record is from RefSeq and is a predicted model, not a curated record. NCBI's taxonomy places the organism in Eukaryota, Metazoa, Chordata, Actinopteri, Syngnathiformes, Syngnathidae.